RNAcentral lists this long non-coding RNA (469 nucleotides) under Triticum aestivum (bread wheat). RNAcentral describes it as "long non-coding RNA (TAES_LNC000247)". The record is from RNAcentral. Lineage: Eukaryota; Viridiplantae; Streptophyta; Magnoliopsida; Poales; Poaceae.
UUUGUUCAAGUUUUCUGCUGAUAAGUCAACUCCGUUAUUCAGAAGGAGCGGUCAGGAUUACUGUAUUAUGCCACGGUGCAGAGUUCAGAGGAAAGAACAGCCUACUGGAUUGCUGAGAACGUAUGUUAUAACAAAAGAAUCACCUUGAUCAUAGCUGAUGUUCCGCUGUUGGGGUCGGUGGCUCCGAUCUUCUCUGUGCCUGUCUUGCGUGCACACGCGUGUGAAGAAAGUGUGUUCUUCUUUUAGCUUGGCUUCUCCUCACACCACAUGUGGCUGUCGUGCGCACGCAAGCACCAACGACGAAGAAGUUCUAGGCAGAAGAGGAAGACGUCCAUGGUGCGCCAGCGAGGCAGGAUAGUGUCGGGGGAUGGGGCGUGGGCCCUUGGGCGGUGUGCUUGGGGACUGGCGAUGGAUGCCGACGCUCGUUUGCCAGGGGUGGGGGUGCUGAUGGUUGGACCCAGGCGCGGGG